Papaver somniferum (opium poppy) is the source of this 1640-nucleotide long non-coding RNA. RefSeq lists it as uncharacterized. NCBI's taxonomy places the organism in Eukaryota, Viridiplantae, Streptophyta, Magnoliopsida, Ranunculales, Papaveraceae. The record is from RefSeq and is a predicted model, not a curated record. The transcript is spliced from 2 exons.
UCUUCUUGCUUCUUCUCUUUCCUUCUUCUCUGUUUCUCUGCGACUGUUAAAUCUGAGUGUUAGAUAUUAAGGUUCUGAGAUCGAAAUAAGUCGAAGUUGAUCAUGAAUUAAGUGAUGGUGGUGGUACUGUUGCUGUUUGAGUUUAGGAAAAAGUUGAAUCGAGAAAUCAGUGAGUUAGGGUUUUCUAAAUUGAAUUAUCUUCUGAGUUAGUGUAGAAUUGAUGAUGAUAUAGUGUUGUUGACGGAUAAAUAACAACUGGGUUAUUGUUUAAUUGGAGUUGUAGUGUUGUUUUGGAGAUCAAUUCGAGAUUAAAGGAGAUGAGGGUUUCUGUUCUUCCCCAAGUUGAAGAACUAGUGAGUUAGGGUUUGUAUGAAUUUCAGAGAAGAUGUAGAAGAUGAAGUUGAGAGUUCAGCAGAAAGAUUAGAGAGGUGUCUUGUUGAUGUGAUAAAUUGAAUUUGUUGUUGGUGUUCGAAUUAAUUUGGGAAAUUAUUUUAGGGUUCUUCUGAGAAUAAAUGAUAGAACUGAAGAUUGAGAGCUAAAGGCUAGGGCUCGGCUCUGUUAAUAAUAUGGUGAUGUAUUUCUAAGUCGAAUCAGAUUGAAGAAGGGUUGAUUGCAGUUGGUUGAGAGAAUCUGUUUUGAGGUAAUUUAUUCUCAUUGUCUUAGUAAGCUUUUGAUUUCAGUUAAAUGAAUUUAUGGAUGUUGAGGAAGAUAUAAUGAAACUACGAUUUAAAUGAUUAUAGAAUGGAAUUGUGAUUGUGGAUGCAAAAUAGUUAUGCAAAUGAAGAACAAGAGUCUUAUAAGGGUGUAUGUGUUGUUGUGAGAAUUGAAUGUGACUCUGAAAUGAAGUAUGGGGAUAUUGAUAUUGUUGUGAUGAUGUUGUUCUGUGGAUGUUGUGAUGUUAUUGAAUGCAGAGAUGACAUUGGAGGUCUGUUGGUGUUGUAAUGGCAGUCUAUAUGGGGUUAGUAGCUAGAGAUGAUGUUUUUUGUGUAUCUGUGGCUGCAGGUGUCGGGAGUUGAGUUAUUGGUGAGUCUUAUUAGUUCAGAUUGAGUUAAUAGACGGACCAUAGGUGUUGGUGGUAUGAACUAAGAAGUGCAAGGACAAUGAAAUUGGCAGGAUAAUGAUGUGGUGGUAGCUAGAACUAGAGGCAUGGAUGGAUGUUUAAUUGAAGUGAUUUCAGGUCAUGGGUUCGUUAUGAUUAGAGAGUGAUGAGCUGAAUUGAACUUAGUUUGAUGGUGUUGUUUGUCCAUUUGUGAUGCCGUAACAGACUGAAGUUGAAUUGGUUGUGUUGAAUAUGUUGAGAUGAUCUGGAUGUUACCUAAAGCUACACUUGCAGUUAGUCUAUUAACAACGAUUGAUUCAAAGGAUGCACCAGUGGAUCGUGGAUCUCGAGGUAGGCGUGGCUUGUCAUCAAAAGAGAUGGGAAUAGUUUAACUCUUUUGAAACCAUUGUUAUUUCUUUUACAAAAGUUGAUGUUUAACAAACUCAUACUUUGUCUGUUUUUGCAUUUCAUACUUUGUUUAGUUUGUAUUAUGAUUGUGUUGUUGAUUCUUUGAAUCUUUCCAUGAAUUGGAAAUGACUUGUAAUGUUUGUCAUUAUAAAUUGUUAUGGUAAAUAAUAAUUUCCACGUGUGGUAUAGGAUA